RNAcentral lists this transfer RNA (67 nucleotides) under Aquatica ficta. Its description in RNAcentral is "tRNA-Ser". Lineage: Eukaryota; Metazoa; Arthropoda; Insecta; Coleoptera; Lampyridae. The record is from RNAcentral.
GAAAUAUGUGAUUCAAAAUGAAACUUCUAAUUUCAAAUUUAUUCAGUGAAACUCCGUUUAUAUUUCU